GCACUGCUGAGGAGUCCCACAAUAGGACGAAAAGGCCAUUCAGUGC
This 46-nucleotide non-coding RNA is filed under the name Schistosoma mattheei. Lineage: Eukaryota; Metazoa; Platyhelminthes; Trematoda; Strigeidida; Schistosomatidae. The record is from RNAcentral.